UUUGAGGGAGCCGAGGUAGAGGGGCUGGUUGGCGGGUCGGUCCUGGCCGUAGGUGGCCAGCAGUGCCUGGGCUUC
Non-coding RNA from Streptomyces sp. 769, 75 nucleotides. NCBI's taxonomy places the organism in Bacteria, Bacillati, Actinomycetota, Actinomycetes, Kitasatosporales, Streptomycetaceae. The record is from Rfam.